This 1727-nucleotide ribosomal RNA is filed under the name Salmonella enterica. RNAcentral describes it as "partial 23S ribosomal RNA". It matches the Rfam family "Bacterial large subunit ribosomal RNA", at positions 1095 to 2804 of the family's 2925-position model. The record is from RNAcentral. Lineage: Bacteria; Pseudomonadati; Pseudomonadota; Gammaproteobacteria; Enterobacterales; Enterobacteriaceae.
AGGAUGUUGGCUUAGAAGCAGCCAUCAUUUAAAGAAAGCGUAAUAGCUCACUGGUCGAGUCGGCCUGCGCGGAAGAUGUAACGGGGCUAAACCAUGCACCGAAGCUGCGGCAGCGACGCUGAUGCGUUGUUGGGUAGGGGAGCGUUCUGUAAGCCUGUGAAGGUGGCCUGUGAGGGUUGCUGGAGGUAUCAGAAGUGCGAAUGCUGACAUAAGUAACGAUAAAGCGGGUGAAAAGCCCGCUCGCCGGAAGACCAAGGGUUCCUGUCCAACGUUAAUCGGGGCAGGGUGAGUCGACCCCUAAGGCGAGGCCGAAAGGCGUAGUCGAUGGGAAACGGGUUAAUAUUCCCGUACUUGGUGUUACUGCGAAGGGGGGACGGAGAAGGCUAUGUUGGCCGGGCGACGGUUGUCCCGGUUUAAGCGUGUAGGUGUGUGUUCCAGGUAAAUCCGGUUCACUUUAACACUGAGGCGUGAUGACGAGGCACUACGGUGCUGAAGCAACAAAUGCCCUGCUUCCAGGAAAAGCCUCUAAGCAUCAGGUAACAUCAAAUCGUACCCCAAACCGACACAGGUGGUCAGGUAGAGAAUACCAAGGCGCUUGAGAGAACUCGGGUGAAGGAACUAGGCAAAAUGGUGCCGUAACUUCGGGAGAAGGCACGCUGACACGUAGGUGAAGUGAUUUACUCAUGGAGCUGAAGUCAGUCGAAGAUACCAGCUGGCUGCAACUGUUUAUUAAAAACACAGCACUGUGCAAACACGAAAGUGGACGUAUACGGUGUGACGCCUGCCCGGUGCCGGAAGGUUAAUUGAUGGGGUCAGCGCAAGCGAAGCUCCUGAUCGAAGCCCCGGUAAACGGCGGCCGUAACUAUAACGGUCCUAAGGUAGCGAAAUUCCUUGUCGGGUAAGUUCCGACCUGCACGAAUGGCGUAAUGAUGGCCAGGCUGUCUCCACCCGAGACUCAGUGAAAUUGAACUCGCUGUGAAGAUGCAGUGUACCCGCGGCAAGACGGAAAGACCCCGUGAACCUUUACUAUAGCUUGACACUGAACAUUGAGCCUUGAUGUGUAGGAUAGGUGGGAGGCUUUGAAGUGUGGACGCCAGUCUGCAUGGAGCCGGCCUUGAAAUACCACCCUUUAAUGUUUGAUGUUCUAACGUGGACCCGUGAUCCGGGUUGCGGACAGUGUCUGGUGGGUAGUUUGACUGGGGCGGUCUCCUCCUAAAGAGUAACGGAGGAGCACGAAGGUUGGCUAAUCCUGGUCGGACAUCAGGAGGUUAGUGCAAUGGCAUAAGCCAGCUUGACUGCGAGCGUGACGGCGCGAGCAGGUGCGAAAGCAGGUCAUAGUGAUCCGGUGGUUCUGAAUGGAAGGGCCAUCGCUCAACGGAUAAAAGGUACUCCGGGGAUAACAGGCUGAUACCGCCCAAGAGUUCAUAUCGACGGCGGUGUUUGGCACCUCGAUGUCGGCUCAUCACAUCCUGGGGCUGAAGUAGGUCCCAAGGGUAUGGCUGUUCGCCAUUUAAAGUGGUACGCGAGCUGGGUUUAGAACGUCGUGAGACAGUUCGGUCCCUAUCUGCCGUGGGCGCUGGAGAACUGAGGGGGGCUGCUCCUAGUACGAGAGGACCGGAGUGGACGCAUCACUGGUGUUCGGGUUGUCAUGCCAAUGGCACUGCCCGGUAGCUAAAUGCGGAAGAGAUAAGUGCUGAAAGCAUCUAAGCACGAAACUUGCCCCGAGA